AGCGUUGUUCGGAAUUACUGGGCGUAAAGCGCACGUAGGCGGAUCGUUAAGUCGGGGGUGAAAUCCUGGAGCUCAACUCCAGAACUGCCCUCGAUACUGGCGAUCUCGAGUCCGGGAGAGGUGAGUGGAACUCCGAGUGUAG
This 142-nucleotide ribosomal RNA is filed under the name uncultured Alphaproteobacteria bacterium. Its description in RNAcentral is "partial 16S ribosomal RNA". It matches the Rfam family "Bacterial small subunit ribosomal RNA", at positions 537 to 678 of the family's 1533-position model. The record is from RNAcentral. Lineage: Bacteria; Pseudomonadati; Pseudomonadota; Alphaproteobacteria.